Molecule: long non-coding RNA, 477 nt
Organism: Dromaius novaehollandiae (emu)
Lineage: Eukaryota; Metazoa; Chordata; Aves; Casuariiformes; Dromaiidae
Exons: 3
Source: RefSeq, a predicted model, not a curated record
CAGCCAUCUCCCUGCUUGCUGAAGUAGAGAAAUAACUUGUUUCAUAGGGUUUAGGUUUUCUCAUUGCCAGAGAGGGUUACUGGCAGAAGGGCAGGGAUUGUUUUGGGACUAAGGUACGUCCCUUCCUUUGUUCUCAGGGAGGCACUUCAGGUUACCUGAACUGGAAGCCAUUUAUCCUCCUCAGAGGCCUGUAGUGGCUCAGCUGCUCUGGCCACUGUAUGAAAGGCUGACUCCUGGCUUUGGACACAGAUUUCUGUAGUGCCUUUCACAUGAGUAGAGACCUAAGCAGGAAGGAACAUGCACUGUUACUAAAUCAGUUUUGCAGGAGAAUGACUGAGAUGACCAUGUACAGCCCUAGGAUUACUGGAGCCCCAGAAGAAAACGUCAUCCUAAGAUCUUACAGGAUUCCUGCCAUUCAGGCUCAGUCUCAUCAGAUUUCUGCAGCAUGCUCUGGCUCUCCAAACUUGCACCUCUCUG